This 384-nucleotide ribosomal RNA is filed under the name uncultured Thelephora. RNAcentral describes it as "eukaryotic LSU rRNA". The stretch from base 1 to 123 matches the Rfam family "5.8S ribosomal RNA", at positions 33 to 154 of the family's 154-position model. The record is from RNAcentral. Lineage: Eukaryota; Fungi; Basidiomycota; Agaricomycetes; Thelephorales; Thelephoraceae.
UCGAUGAAGAACGCAGCGAAAUGCGAUAAGUAAUGUGAAUUGCAGAAUUCAGUGAAUCAUCGAAUCUUUGAACGCACCUUGCGCCCCUUGGCUAUUCCGAGGGGCAUGCCUGUUUGAGUAUCAUGAACACCUCAACUCUCAUGGUUUGCCAUGAUGAGUUGGACUCUGGGGGUUUUGCUGGCCUGUCGGGUCGGCUCCUCUCAAAUUAAUCAGCCUCCCAGUGUUUGGUGGCAUCACGGGUGUGAUAAAUAUCUACGCUCGCUGUUGUCUGCCAGGUAACCUUUGGUCACAAAGGUUUGCUGGAGCUCACAGAUGUCUCUCCUCAGCGAGGACAGCUUUUUAACGUUCGAUCUCAAAUCAGGUAGGACUACCCGCUGAACUUAA